CGGGUGAGUAACGCGUGGGUAACCUGCCUCAUACAGGGGGAUAACAGUUGGAAACGACUGCUAAUACCGCAUAAGCGCACAGGAUUGCAUGAUCCAGUGUGAAAAACUCCGGUGGUAUGAGAUGGACCCGCGUCUGAUUAGCUAGUUGGUAAGGUAACGGCUUACCAAGGCGACGAUCAGUAGCCGACCUGAGAGGGUGACCGGCCACAUUGGGACUGAGACACGGCCCAA
Molecule: ribosomal RNA, 231 nt
Filed under: uncultured bacterium
Lineage: Bacteria
Description: partial 16S ribosomal RNA
Rfam family: Bacterial small subunit ribosomal RNA
Source: RNAcentral